This 253-nucleotide ribosomal RNA is filed under the name uncultured bacterium. RNAcentral's name for it is "partial 16S ribosomal RNA". It matches the Rfam family "Bacterial small subunit ribosomal RNA", at positions 524 to 776 of the family's 1533-position model. The record is from RNAcentral.
GACAGAGGGGGCAAGCGUUGCUCGGAAUUACUGGGCGUAAAGCGCGCGUAGGCGGCUUUGUAAGUUAGAGGUGAAAGCCCGGAGCUCAACUCCGGAACUGCCUUUAAAACUGCAUCGCUUGAAUCCAGGAGAGGUGAGUGGAAUUCCGAGUGUAGAGGUGAAAUUCGUAGAUAUUCGGAAGAACACCAGUGGCGAAGGCGGCUCACUGGACUGGUAUUGACGCUGAGGUGCGAAAGCGUGGGGAGCAAACAGG